AACGAACGCUGGCGGCAUGCCUAACACAUGCAAGUCGAACGAGACCUUCGGGUCUAGUGGCGCACGGGUGCGUAACGCGUGGGAACCUGCCCUUAGGUUCGGAAUAACUCCCCGAAAGGGGUGCUAAUACCGGAUAAUGUCUUCGGACCAAAGAUUUAUCGCCUUUGGAUGGGCCCGCGUUGGAUUAGCUAGUUGGUAGGGUAAAAGCCUACCAAGGCGACGAUCCAUAGCUGGUCUGAGAGGAUGAUCAGCCACACUGGGACUGAGACACGGCCCAGACUCCUACGGGAGGCAGCAGUGGGGAAUAUUGGACAAUGGGCGAAAGCCUGAUCCAGCAAUGCCGCGUGAGUGAUGAAGGCCUUAGGGUUGUAAAGCUCUUUUACCCGGGAUGAUAAGGACAGUACCGGGAGAAUAAGCUCCGGCUAACUCCGG
This 432-nucleotide ribosomal RNA is filed under the name uncultured bacterium. Its description in RNAcentral is "partial 16S ribosomal RNA". It matches the Rfam family "Bacterial small subunit ribosomal RNA", at positions 29 to 506 of the family's 1533-position model. The record is from RNAcentral.